Molecule: ribosomal RNA, 253 nt
Filed under: uncultured bacterium
Lineage: Bacteria
Description: partial 16S ribosomal RNA
Rfam family: Bacterial small subunit ribosomal RNA
Source: RNAcentral
UACGUAGGUCCCAAGCGUUAUCCGGAAUUACUGGGUGUAAAGCGUCUGUAGGCGGAUAGGUAAGUUUUGUAUGAAAGACCAGAGCUCAACUCCGUGUUUGUGCAAAAAACUGCUUGUCUAGAAUUAGGGAGGGGUAAGCGGAAUGGUAUGAGUAGAGGUGCAAUUCGUAGAUACAUACCAGAACACCAAAAGCGAAGGCAGCUUACUGGAACUAUAUUGACGCUGAGAGACGAAAGCGUGGGGAGCGAAAAGG